GGCCGGCUGUGGGACCCCCCUCAGCCCCAGCUGGGGACCCGGGACGCUCUGGCACCCAGGCUCGGGCUCUGCAUCCGCCCUCGGCCUCUUCCAGGUGAACAGACCCCGGGUUUCUGCCCAGCUAACGCGGAUGCUUGGCUCUCCCCUGCGACAUGAACACACGAGCAGGCGGGGCUGACAUGGCCGCUGUCACAGCACAGCCCAGCACCGAGACCUCCAGGCUCUGCUAUUUCAAGCUUACCUGCAGAUUCUGCUGAAUGCGAGCAGGAGUGACACUCUUGGGAAUGACAACCACUUUACGCUGCACUUGCCAUCUGCAAGAGGAGGUUCAACUAGCUUACUUACUUUACUCAUCACAAGCUAAAAACCAAGAUUGCUUCCUGUGGAAAGAGCGUGGGAAAAUAAUCAGAAGAUUGCCCAAACCUCUGCACUGGAGUUUCUAGGCUAUGGAAGGAACACACUAAGAACAGAGAGCCCUGGACCCUGUGCUGGAAGGGUAAGAACCAGAAACAAAACAAUGGAGAACUGGUUAUCUAGAGAGCAUAAAAUACAAAAGGGAGAUCACAUUGGGCAAAAAGCACAGAAUUGCAUCAGAAAGGACACUUCUCACUGUCUCAUGUCUGAUAAAACU
Molecule: non-coding RNA, 631 nt
Organism: Agelaius phoeniceus (red-winged blackbird)
Lineage: Eukaryota; Metazoa; Chordata; Aves; Passeriformes; Icteridae
Source: RefSeq, a predicted model, not a curated record